This 411-nucleotide long non-coding RNA is filed under the name Lathyrus oleraceus (garden pea). RNAcentral's name for it is "Pisum sativum (pea) long non-coding RNA (PSAT_LNC020275)". Lineage: Eukaryota; Viridiplantae; Streptophyta; Magnoliopsida; Fabales; Fabaceae. The record is from RNAcentral.
UCUUGGUCCCGCUAAGAUCAUAGCAUGUGUCUAAAAUCGAAAGAGCUGAUGCGUUCGGAUACUUCGCCAUGCCUUUGCGGAAGGAAUCGCGAAGGCUGGCGUAGACGGUAGGUGGCAGCCGUGUAAUGACAGUGCCGGAGUCGAUAAUGGCGCCACCGGAGGUGAAAAGAGAGGGCGAGAUUGGAAGCUUGGUUCCUCCGACGCUGAUCCCAGCAAUGUCGAGUCCGUAGAAGGAAUUGCUACUGGAGAAAGGGGCGAAAGGAGUGUAUUUUACAUACUUGUUACGGGUGGCGCCGAAUGUGAGGUGGCCAACGGCGCUGGAAGUGGAGGGAAGACAAUAAGAAAAAGUUUUAUAGUAUUUUUGAGAGGUUUGUUGGACAAAGGAGAUUGGAUGACGACCAAGGCCUAACA